AGGAGAUCACAGCUGGGCAAAGGGUGAAAACAACGCUGGGAGGUCGAAAGGCUGCAGAACCCAUUACCCAUCUCCCGAUAGCCAUUCCGAUGGAAGGCCCUGACAAACGACUCCCUGCAAAGCCGGAUAAGCCCUCUGCAUCCAUCGGCUAAUGCCAGCUGUCGAGGAUGCCCUGAUGUCUGUUCUCACAUCACAUUGCGCUCCAAGUACCCCGGCUGCAACCAGAGCUCAGCAAACCGGGACCAGAGGGCACAUCCACCCUGCCUGCCCAUGUCAACAGAGUUGUGUGGGAGCCAGCCGGCCCCCAGGAAGACCCCAGAUCUUCCUGCCCCUGACCACAGCUCUGUCCCUGGAAGCAUAUGCUGCAGACACUUGCUCUGCUGCAGAUUUUCUGCACAACCCCUCCUCAUGGGGGAAGGUUUGGUACCUGAAUGAGGCCUCUUUUGACCUCUAUUCCUAUCACUAUUUUUGGUGACCUCAAUAUUUAUGAAGGUAAUAACUUGGUCUUUAAUCCAGACAAUUUUCACCUCCAGGAAUCUUGUCCUGCAUCUCACUUUUCUUCUUGAGUCCUGUGGUCAUCACCAAAACCUGUCCCUCCUUGGAAACCUCAGUUUAAGCAUCCCACUGUCCGAGGGUACCUCUUUCCUUCCAUUGCCUCAGUUUCAGGUGUCCAGUCCAUGGCGCCCCCCGUCUUUGCCCAGUCACCAUGUCCAGUCGACUGUGCUCCCAUCUUUACCCAGCCACUGUGUCCAGUCCAUGGUGCCCCCAUCUUUGCCCAGCCACCACCUCGUCUGACUCCCCGUCCUCCCCUUGGUGCUGGGCUCCUGCCUGUCCCUCCUCUGUCAAGUGCACCUGGACCUGGGAGUGACCUUGGAGUGACCUUGACCCUGGCAGCUCCAACUCUCAACCCGUCAGCCAGGCUCCUUGAAACCUGGCUGGAGGGAAACGGCAAACCCUGCCACCUGGAGUCGCCUAAAAUUCGCAGCCACGGUCCUCCAACAGGCCCCACGCUUCCCGCCAGUCCAGCACAUUU
Molecule: long non-coding RNA, 1033 nt
Filed under: Homo sapiens (human)
Lineage: Eukaryota; Metazoa; Chordata; Mammalia; Primates; Hominidae
Description: non-protein coding ADARB2-AS1:5
Source: RNAcentral